RNAcentral lists this ribosomal RNA (459 nucleotides) under uncultured bacterium. RNAcentral describes it as "partial 16S ribosomal RNA". It matches the Rfam family "Bacterial small subunit ribosomal RNA", at positions 338 to 795 of the family's 1533-position model. The record is from RNAcentral.
CCUACGGGAGGCAGCAGUGAGGAAUAUUGGUCAAUGGGCGGAAGCCUGAACCAGCCAAGUAGCGUGCGGGAUGAAGGCCCUACGGGUCGUAAACCGCUUUUGCACGGGGAUAACACCCUCCACUUGUGGAGGUCUGCAGGUACCGUGCGAAUAAGGGCCGGCUAAUUCCGUGCCAGCAGCCGCGGUAAUACGGAAGGCCCGAGCGUUAUCCGGAUUCAUUGGGUUUAAAGGGAGGGUAGGCGGGCGUUCAAGGCAGCGGUAAAAUCGGGCGGUCCAACCGCGCCCUGCAGUUGAAACUGGGAGCCUUGAGUUCACAACAGGCAGGCGGAAUUCGUGGUGUAGCGGUGAAAUGCAUAGAUAUCACGAGGAACCCCGAUUGCGAAGGCAGCCUGCCGGGGUGCGACUGACGCUGAGGCUCGAAGGUGCGGGUAUCAAACAGGAUUAGAUACCCGGGUAGUC